GACUGGGAGCAUGAUCAAGAGCUAAAAGACGAUCUAGAGAAGUAUGUUAUGAGAAAUUUAUCGAGGAAAGAAGUUUUAGACUUUGUAGCACGAGACUAUCCCCAGUAUGCCUGGUCCUUAAGCUCUUUAAAAAGGAGACUGACGUCUUUUGAUAUUAAGUACAUAAGAUACGAUACUGAAAUCGAAGACGUCCAGACUGCUGUAAGAGAAGAAAUGGAAGGCCCAGGGCAACUAUUAGGGUAUAGAGCCAUGCAGCAUAAAAUCCGAGAGCAACAUCAACUGUUUGUCCCUCGAAAUUUGGUGUACGAUAUGAUGACAAUGGUGGACCCGG
Molecule: non-coding RNA, 331 nt
Organism: Paramuricea clavata
Lineage: Eukaryota; Metazoa; Cnidaria; Anthozoa; Malacalcyonacea; Plexauridae
Source: the annotation of a GenBank genome assembly